UGAGGAAUAUUGGGCAAUGGACGCAAGUCUGACCCAGCCAUGCCGCGUGCAGGAAUGACGGCCCUAUGGGUUGUAAACUGCUUUUGUACGGGAAGAACCCCCUUUACGUGUAGAGGGCUGACGGUACCGUAUGAAUAAGCAUCGGCUAACUCCGUGCCAGCAGCCGCGGUAAUACGGAGGAUGCAAGCGUUAUCCGGAUUUAUUGGGUUUAAAGGGUGCGCAGGCGGGCAUAUAAGUCAGUGGUGAAAUCUCUCGGCUCAACUGAGAAACUGCCAUUGAUACUGUAUGUCUAGAGUACAGAUGAGGUAGGCGGAAUGUGUCAUGUAGCGGUGAAAUGCUUAGAUAUGACACAGAACACCGAUUGCGAAGGCAGCUUACCAAACUGUUACUGACGCUCAUG
Molecule: ribosomal RNA, 400 nt
Filed under: uncultured bacterium
Lineage: Bacteria
Description: bacterial SSU rRNA
Rfam family: Bacterial small subunit ribosomal RNA
Source: RNAcentral